Molecule: long non-coding RNA, 1010 nt
Filed under: Phasianus colchicus (ring-necked pheasant)
Lineage: Eukaryota; Metazoa; Chordata; Aves; Galliformes; Phasianidae
Description: lncRNA (ENSPCLG00000015652.1)
Source: RNAcentral
GGGAUGGGGAUUGGGAUGGGGAAUGGGAUGGGGAUGGGGUGGGGAAUGGGAUUGGGAUGGAGAUUUGGGUAGGAUGGAUGGAUGGGAUGGGGAUGGGGAUGAGGAUUGGGAUCGGAUGGGAACAGGAUGGGAUGGGAUGAGAUGGGAUGGGAUGCAGCAGCACCGUGCGUGCAGCCCUUGUAGCACACAGAAUGGGAAGCAGCACCCCAUGCCUGCACCCCACACAGGACCCACAGCAGGGCUGCAGCACCCCAUGCAUGCACCCCACACAGGACCCACAGCAGGGCUGCAGCACCCCAUGCACGCACCCCACACAGCACUCACACUCCUCUCCAUGCAUUCAGGGUGGAGAUGCAGCACCCCACACAGCACUCAUGCUGCUCCCCAUGCAUGCACCCCACACAGGACGCAUGGAGGAGGCGCAGCACCCCAUGCCUGCACCCACACAGCACUGAUGCAGCUCCCCACACCUGCACCCCACAGAAAACCCACAGCAGGGCUGCAGCACCCCACGCCUGCACCCCACACAGGACCCACACAGGGCUGCAGCACCCCAUGCCUGCACCCACACAGCACUGACGCAGCCCCCCACGCCUGCACCCCACAGAAAACCCACAGCAGGGCUGCAGCACCCCAUGCACGCACCUCACCCCCCCCCUCCCCCCCGAUUGCUGUUCCCCCAGGACGCAGAGAAGGGCUGCUGCAGCACGGGCUGCUGCAAGGCGUGCUGCCUGCCCUGCUCGCUCUGCUGCCCCACGUGCUGCCGCCCGGGCUGCGGCUGCAUGCGGAGCUGCCUGUGCUUCGUGCCGCGCCUGCUCUGCUCGCUGCCCCGCAAACUGCUGGGCUGCCACCGCCUGCGCUGCGUCCUCCUCGGCGCGCUGCUGCUCGGCCUCCUGCUGCUGCUGCUGCUCGGGGCGCUGCUGAUGUGGCUGCGGGCGGAGCGGCUGCGGGACGGCGGCGUGCGUGGGGGGUGGGGGGGUGGGGGGGGAUGGGGCUGGGGGGGUAAUGGG